AGAGUUUGAUCAUGGCUCAGAUUGAACGCUGGCGGCAGGCCUAACACAUGCAAGUCGAACGGUAACAGGAAGCAGCUUGCUGCUUCGCUGACGAGUGGCGGACGGGUGAGUAAUGUCUGGGAAACUGCCUGAUGGAGGGGGAUAACUACUGGAAACGGUAGCUAAUACCGCAUAAUGUCGCAAGACCAAAGAGGGGGACCUUCGGGCCUCUUGCCAUCGGAUGUGCCCAGAUGGGAUUAGCUUGUUGGUGGGGUAACGGCUCACCAAGGCGACGAUCCCUAGCUGGUCUGAGAGGAUGACCAGCCACACUGGAACUGAGACACGGUCCAGACUCCUACGGGAGGCAGCAGUGGGGAAUAUUGCACAAUGGGCGCAAGCCUGAUGCAGCCAUGCCGCGUGUAUGAAGAAGGCCUUCGGGUUGUAAAGUACUUUCAGCGGGGAGGAAGGGAGUAAAGUUAAUACCUUUGCUCAUUGACGUUACCCGCAGAAGAAGCACCGGCUAACUCCGUGCCAGCAGCCGCGGUAAUACGGAGGGUGCAAGCGUUAAUCGGAAUUACUGGGCGUAAAGCGCACGCAGGCGGUUUGUUAAGUCAGAUGUGAAAUCCCCGGGCUCAACCUGGGAACUGCAUCUGAUACUGGCAAGCUUGAGUCUCGUAGAGGGGGGUAGAAUUCCAGGUGUAGCGGUGAAAUGCGUAGAGAUCUGGAGGAAUACCGGUGGCGAAGGCGGCCCCCUGGACGAAGACUGACGCUCAGGUGCGAAAGCGUGGGGAGCAAACAGGAUUAGAUACCCUGGUAGUCCACGCCGUAAACGAUGUCGACUUGGAGGUUGUGCCCUUGAGGCGUGGCUUCCGGAGCUAACGCGUUAAGUCGACCGCCUGGGGAGUACGGCCGCAAGGUUAAAACUCAAAUGAAUUGACGGGGGCCCGCACAAGCGGUGGAGCAUGUGGUUUAAUUCGAUGCAACGCGAAGAACCUUACCUGGUCUUGACAUCCACGGAAGUUUUCAGAGAUGAGAAUGUGCCUUUCGGGAACCGUGAGACAGGUGCUGCAUGGCUGUCGUCAGCUCGUGUUGUGAAAUGUUGGGUUAAGUCCCGCAACGAGCGCAACCCUUAUCCUUUGUUGCCAGCGGUCCGGCCGGGAACUCAAAGGAGACUGCCAGUGAUAAACUGGAGGAAGGUGGGGAUGACGUCAAGUCAUCAUGGCCCUUACGACCAGGGCUACACACGUGCUACAAUGGCGCAUACAAAGAGAAGCGACCUCGCGAGAGCAAGCGGACCUCAUAAAGUGCGUCGUAGUCCGGAUUGGAGUCUGCAACUCGACUCCAUGAAGUCGGAAUCGCUAGUAAUCGUGGAUCAGAAUGCCACGGUGAAUACGUUCCCGGGCCUUGUACACACCGCCCGUCACACCAUGGGAGUGGGUUGCAAAAGAAGUAGGUAGCUUAACCUUCGGGAGGGCGCUUACCACUUUGUGAUUCAUGACUGGGGUGAAGUCGUAACAAGGUAACCGUAGGGGAACCUGCGGUUGGAUCACCU
RNAcentral lists this ribosomal RNA (1531 nucleotides) under Escherichia coli. RNAcentral describes it as "bacterial SSU rRNA". It matches the Rfam family "Bacterial small subunit ribosomal RNA". The record is from RNAcentral. Lineage: Bacteria; Pseudomonadati; Pseudomonadota; Gammaproteobacteria; Enterobacterales; Enterobacteriaceae.